AGGGGGAGGCCAGGUUGGGGAAACUUAUAAGAUCAGCGAGGGAACAACUCAGCCUGGGAGCCGCCGCAUCCCAGGAGGGACUGGAGCCCAGGCGGAGGAUACGCUUCUCUGAGGACUAAGAGAAGUUGGCUGCUGUCCUUUGAGUAGUUGCCGGAUCAUGGCCGUCGGCUGAGUCCUCCCAAGACCACCCAUCUUCACCGCAUGGCUCCUUGGCCCCAAAUGCACGGCGGUGACGGCGAGUACGCCGUUCCCAAAUCCAAAUCCAGCAUGGAGGUGAUGGCUGCUGUCCUUUGAGAAGAUCCUGGAUUGAAUCCACUUUGAGAGGAAAAUCAAUCGUAUAGAAGAUGAUCGGCUGUCUGGCACAGUUGGAGGUGAAAAUUCCUGUCCCUGAGCGGGUUGCUUACGUUGCCAGAUCAUGGCCGUCGGCUGAGUCCUCCCAAGAUAAAUUUUAUACACAGAGUAUAAUAAAGU
Non-coding RNA from Zootoca vivipara (common lizard), 471 nucleotides. Lineage: Eukaryota; Metazoa; Chordata; Lepidosauria; Squamata; Lacertidae. The record is from RefSeq and is a predicted model, not a curated record.